Molecule: ribosomal RNA, 380 nt
Filed under: uncultured eukaryote
Lineage: Eukaryota
Description: partial 18S ribosomal RNA
Rfam family: Eukaryotic small subunit ribosomal RNA
Source: RNAcentral
CAAUUGCGUAUAUUAAAGUUGUUGCAGUUAAAAAGCUCGUAGUUGGAUUUGUGGCUGUCACGGGCGGCCUAUCACUUAGUGUUAGUGCUUGCCUGUGUCACCAUCCUUGGGUGGAGCCCGUGUGGCAUUAGGUUGUCGUGCGGGGGAUGCCCAUCGUUUACUGUGAGAAAAUUAGAGUGUUCAAAGCAGGCUUAUGCCAUUGAAUAUGUUAGCAUGGAAUAAUAAGAUAGGACCUCGGUACUAUUUUGUUGGUUUGCGCACCGAGGUAAUGAUUAAUAGGGACAGUUGGGGGUAUUCGUAUUUCAUUGUCAGAGGUGAAAUUCUUGGAUUUCUGAAAGACGAACUACUGCGAAAGCAUUUACCAAGGAUGUUUUCAUUAA